CAAAUCAUAGCUAUAUUAGUUUGGCAUAUUAUUUACAUUAAUACUUUAAUUGUGCAAUUCAGUUUGGUUUGA
This 72-nucleotide transfer RNA is filed under the name Phymatostetha stalii. RNAcentral describes it as "tRNA-Val". The record is from RNAcentral. RNAcentral also lists the same sequence under 1 other name. Lineage: Eukaryota; Metazoa; Arthropoda; Insecta; Hemiptera; Cercopidae.